RNAcentral lists this small RNA (655 nucleotides) under Malus domestica (apple). RNAcentral describes it as "sRNA MD13G0052700". Lineage: Eukaryota; Viridiplantae; Streptophyta; Magnoliopsida; Rosales; Rosaceae. The record is from RNAcentral.
AGAGAUUAUAUCUGGUAGUUCCGUAGUUGGGGUAUCCAAUCCAAGGAGCCGAAGGUUGAAGAAAGACCAGCAACGAGAAUCUCUGAAGUUGGUUUGACCAAAAUCACCCGCGACGAUGCCGACGUUGACGAAGCUGUACACAAUGCAAGAAGCCUCGCAGCACAACACCAAAGACAACUGCUGGGUCGUCAUCGAUGGCAAGGAGGAUUCAAUGUGUCCUUAAUCUUUAGGUCAUAAAAAAGUCAAAGACUGAGACUUUGGAUUACUACCUGCAAAACCCAUAUUCUAUUUUCAUUUUGUUUACUAUUUACUGCUGUAAUUCCUCUGCGUUUCUCAGUUUCUAGGUCAAGUUUCCUCCUUUCCAAUCAUAAAUUUUGACCUAUAGAUAAUACGAUUUGGUUGAAUUGUCGUCGCGAGUAAUCUUUAUGUGUGUGUGGCUUUGCUAUUCAUAAUCUUGUUUAAAUUACAUAUGAAUAGUACUUAUGGAAUUUGAUCGCGAUUCGUGAGGCGUGUUGUGUUCUGUUAAAAUUAUUACCGGCUUUGGUACUCGAGAAUUGGCGUAAUCAAUUUUCUUUUCCAUCAUUUCAACUGGUUGCUGGUUUAAGUGCACGUCUUGCUGUAUUCGUGUUGCUUGCAGCCUUACUGUUGUUGUGGC